GUGAAGUGACGAUACAAAUUCAUAUCUUCAAUUCACUGACUUACUGUGUGAUGUUACUCUGAAUUGGCUGUGGUUCUGAUCGC
Small nucleolar RNA from Rosa chinensis, 83 nucleotides. RefSeq annotates it as small nucleolar RNA snoR14. The record is from RefSeq and is a predicted model, not a curated record. The transcript has a single exon. Lineage: Eukaryota; Viridiplantae; Streptophyta; Magnoliopsida; Rosales; Rosaceae.